GAUGAAGAACGCAGCGAAAUGCUAUAAGUAAUGUGAAUUGCAGAAUUCAGUGAAUCAUCGAAUCUUUGAACGCACAUUGCGCCCGCUAGUAUUCUGGCGGGCAUGCCUGUCCGAGCGUCAUUUCAACCCUCAAGCCCCCGGGCUUGGUGUUGGGGAUCGGCGAGCCUCCGCGCCCGCCGUCCCCUAAAUCUAGUGGCGGUCUCGCUGUAGCUUCCUCUGCGUAGUAGCACACCUCGCACUGGGAAACAGCGCGGCCACGCCGUUAAACCCCCAACUUCUGAACGUUUGACCUCGGAUCAGGUAGGAAUACCCGCUGAACUUAAGCAUAUCAAUAAGCGGAGGA
RNAcentral lists this unclassified non-coding RNA (343 nucleotides) under soil metagenome. RNAcentral's name for it is "partial contains 5.8S ribosomal RNA, internal transcribed spacer 2, and large subunit ribosomal RNA". The stretch from base 1 to 120 matches the Rfam family "5.8S ribosomal RNA", at positions 35 to 154 of the family's 154-position model. The record is from RNAcentral.